RNAcentral lists this ribosomal RNA (253 nucleotides) under uncultured bacterium. Its description in RNAcentral is "partial 16S ribosomal RNA". It matches the Rfam family "Bacterial small subunit ribosomal RNA", at positions 524 to 776 of the family's 1533-position model. The record is from RNAcentral.
UACGAAUGGAGCAAGCGUUGUUCGGAAUCACUGGGCUUAAAGCGUGCGUAGGCGGACAUGAAAGUCAGGAGUGAAAUCCCGGGGCUCAACCCCGGAAUUGCUUUUGAAACUCCAUGUCUGGAAUCCGGGAGGGGUUAGUGGAAUUCCGAGUGUAGAGGUGAAAUUCGCAGAUAUUCGGAGGAACACCAGUGGCGAAGGCGACUGACUGGACCGGCAUUGACGCUGAGGCAAGAAAGCGUGGGUAGCAAACAGG